UGAAGACUAUGGAUGGCUUCUUCCCCUAUAUCUCUCUGAGGCAGGGUCUUACUAUGUUCUUAGGGUAGGUUGGAACUCACUUUAUAGUUUAUCCUCCAGCUUACAUGAUCCUUCUGCAUCAGCCUCCCAUGUACUGAGAUUAUAGAUAUGUAUUACCAUGCCUGGCUUGAAGACUUUUCUUAGAUUAUUAAUUUUGUAUAUGUAUUUAGGCCUGUGCAUGCCAUGGUGCACACAUGGUCAGAGGACAGACAGCUCAUGGCAGUCAGCUCUCUCCUUCCACCGUAUGGGUCCCAGGGAUGGAACUCAGGUUCUCAGGUUUGGUGGCUAGUUCCCUUAACUGCAAAGUCGUCAUGCUGGUCCUCAUCUUCUCUUCUAAUGCUAUCUUUUUUUUGUUUUGUUUUGUUUUUUUGUUUUUCGAGACAGGGUUUCUCUGUGUAGCCUUGGCUGUCCUGGAACUCACUCUGUAGACCAGGCUGGCCUCGAACUCAGAAAUCUUCCUGCCUCUGCUUCCUGAGUGCUGGGAUUAAAGGCCUAAUGCUAUCUUUUAAUGCUUUAAAUUUUCCUCUAGAAGACAUGUUGACAAGAUAGUCGGUUUGCCUUUUACUCAUUCUCUCCACAAAGAAGGCAGUAGGGAAGUGACUGAGCAUCCGAGUAGAAACAACAGGACCCCUGGGGGACACAAACCCAUUAACCACAGAGAGGAGAGGGCUGUAUUCUGCUUCUCCCAUUCAGAUCAAGGCAACCUUCUGCUUACAAGGAGACCUCAGAGUCCCUGUUGUCUCUGUAGACAGACUUUCACGGUCCUCACAGAACCUGAGAUAUUCAGAGAGUGGUCUGGGGUUCAUAGGCCUGUCAUGCGAUAGUUAAGAGCUCAUGUUUUUACACCCCCACCUCCGCCCAAACACACACACUAUGCCUAAGUAUCUAUGGUCAUCUGGACUCUGAACCUACCUGUGCAGUGCAUCCCACCCUAGAAAACAGCAGAUGUUCUGUGUCUGUUCUUGGGGACCUGCCAUUAUUCCAUCAUACUCAGGAUCAACUGCACCACCGUAGCCCCAGCUUCUGAAAAUAUCCACCUAGCAGAAGUGUCCAGACUCUGGCUUCUAAACUGAUAUGGCACCAGGGAACAGAGUGGAAACUGACAUAUAACCACAAGCCUGAAAUGCCUGUGAACACUUGUGCAUGUCUUGAUAGCCAACCAAGUAGCAGCCUCACUCUGCCCCUAUGAGCCAGCUCCUUAGCUGCCAACCCACAGUGCCCCCAAGUACACAAACUCAGGCUGACAGCCCCACCCACUGGAGAGCCUGCCACACAGCCACCAGUCAGUGGCUCUGCAGUCUGCCAAGCAACAGCAGACUUAUCCCUGGCAAAGCUGUACCACACAGCUGCAUCACAGACACCCACAAGCUAGAUCAUUAACACAAACAAGUAUAUCACCAGUGAACAUCACAGCUGAAGAAACUGCACUAUUGUGUCCACUUGAAAUUUAACUUAGUAAUAUGCUAGACUGACAGAGUACCUUCCAUCUACAGGAAAAAGUCUCUCUCUGUGAGGAAAAGAAACCCUCUUUAAAGUUUUAAGAGGUAGUCUCUCUACUUGCUUCUUGUGUAAAGUCAUAGGAUGAAAGCGAAGGACUAGGAAAAGAUACUUAACGCAGAUAGAAAUAAAAGCCUGUGAAAAAAUGAAGAUGGUUGUAUAAUGAUAAAAAGAUUCAGUUCAUCUAUUGAUAGUGCAUGCAUCCAAUACAGCACUACUCAAAUACAUAAAGCAAAUGUGGCCAUGUCUAAAGGGAGAGAGAGAAUCUUACACAGUGUAUUAGUCAGGGUUCUCUAGAGUCACAGAACUUAUGGACAGUCUCUAGAUAGUAAAGGAAUUUAUUGAUGACUUACAGUCGGCAGCCCAAUUCCCAACAAUGGUUCAGUCGCAGCUGUGAAUGGAAGUCCAAGGAUCUAGCAGUUACUCAGUCUCACGCAGCAAGCAGGCGAAGGAGCAAGAGCAAGAGCUAGACUCCCUUCUUCCAAUGUCCUUAUUUUGUCUCCAGUAGAAGGUGUAGCCCAGAUUAAAGGUGUGUUCCACCACACCUUUAAUCCCAGAUGAAAGGCGUAGCCCAGAUUAAAGGUGUGUUCCUUAAACUCGGAGAUUCAAUCUUCUGGAAUCCAUAGCCACUAUGGCUCAAGAUCUUCAAACCAAGAUCCAGAUAAGGAUCUCCAAGCCUCCAGAUAAGGGUCACUGGUGAGCCUUCCAAUUCCGGAUUGUAGUUCAUUCCAAAUAUUGUCAAGUUGACAACCAGGAAUAGCCACUACACACAGUAAUAGCUGGGAUGUCAGCUUCCCAGGAGACAGAUUCCGCAGGCACAAACAAUGUAAUGGCAGAAUUAAACUAUAGAAUAGACCAAACAGCUUGGCACACACAGAACGUUCCCCGCAGCCUCUGUAGAGUGCAUUCUCUCCUCAGUGUAUGCAACUCACCAGUGUAAGCCAUGUAGCAGGCCACAAAACAAUCUCAAUGAAUUUUUAGAAAUCAAAAUUAUUUCUUUUCUGGUCACAAAACUAGAAACCAACAAGAGGAGCUGUGGAAAUUAUAGAAGUAAGUGAAAAUUAGACAAUAUGGGUUCAUGAAGAAAUUAAAAGGGGAAUAUAGAAAAUUUCUUGAGAUAUAUGAAAAUAGAAAUAUGGGGUCUGGAGAGAUGGCUCAAUGGUUAAGAGCACUGACUGCUCUCCCAGAGGUCCUGAGUUCAAUUCCCAGUAACCACAUGGUGGCUCACAACCAUCUGUAAUGGGGAUCUGAUGCCCUCUUCUGGUGUGUCUAAGACAGUACGGUGUAUUCAUAUAAAAUAAGUAAAUAAAUAAAUAUUUAGAAAAAAAAGAAAAAGAAAAUAUACUGCCAGGCAGUGAUGGCUCACACCUUUAAUUGCAGCACUUGAGAGGCAGAGACAGGCAGAUAUCUGUGAGUUCUCUGUGAGUUCGGGGUCUACAGAAUGAGUUCCAGGACAGCCAGGGCAACACAGAAAAAUCCUGUCUC
This 3021-nucleotide long non-coding RNA is filed under the name Mus musculus (house mouse). Its description in RNAcentral is "long non-coding RNA chr16:18517024-18520045". Lineage: Eukaryota; Metazoa; Chordata; Mammalia; Rodentia; Muridae. The record is from RNAcentral.